This 513-nucleotide ribosomal RNA is filed under the name uncultured bacterium. RNAcentral describes it as "bacterial SSU rRNA". It matches the Rfam family "Bacterial small subunit ribosomal RNA", at positions 29 to 518 of the family's 1533-position model. The record is from RNAcentral.
ACGAACGCUGGCGGCGUGCCUAACACAAUGCAAGUCGAACGGAGAAAUCAGCGAAUGGAUUCUUAGUGGCGAACGGGUGAGUAACGCGUAGAUAACCUGCCUCUAAGAUGAGGACAACAACUCGAAAGGGUUGCUAAUACCGAAUGUGAACAGAACUUCGCAUGGAGAACUGUUUUGAAGGUGGCCUCUGAAUAUGCUACCGCUUAGAGAUGGGUCUGCGUCUGAUUAGCUAGUUGGAGGGGUAACGGCCCACCAAGGCGACGAUCAGUAGCCGGUCUGAGAGGAUGAACGGCCACACUGGGACUGAGACACGGCCCAGACUCCUACGGGAGGCAGCAGUGGGGAAUCUUCCGCAAUGGACGAAAGUCUGACGGAGCAACGCCGCGUGAGUGAAGAAGGCCCUCCGGGGUCGUAAAGCUCUGUCUUCAGGGACGAAUGUGCAGGAUGUGAAUAAUGUCUUGUAAUGACGGUACCUGAGGAGGAAGCCACGGCUAACUACGUGCCAGCCGCCGC